This 451-nucleotide ribosomal RNA is filed under the name uncultured bacterium. RNAcentral's name for it is "partial 16S ribosomal RNA". It matches the Rfam family "Bacterial small subunit ribosomal RNA", at positions 29 to 523 of the family's 1533-position model. The record is from RNAcentral.
AACGAACGCUGGCGGCAGGCUUAACACAUGCAAGUCGAACGGGCGUAGCAAUACGUCAGUGGCAGACGGGUGAGUAACACGUGGGAAUAUCCCUUUCAGCUCGGAAUAACUCAGGGAAACUUGAGCUAAUACCGAAUACGUCAUUCGGGAGAAAGAUUUAUCACUGAGAGAUUAGCCCGCGUCUGAUUAGCUAGUUGGUGAGGUAAUGGCUCACCAAGGCGACGAUCAGUAGCUGGUCUGAGAGGAUGACCAGCCAGACUGGGACUGAGACACGGCCCAGACUCCUACGGAAGGCAGCAUUGGAGAAGAUUGGACAAUGAGGGCAACCCUGAUCCAGCCUGGCCGCGGGAGUGAUGAAGGCCUUAGGGUUGUAAAGCUCUUUGGCUAGGGAAGAUAAUGACUGUACCUAGAGAAUAAGCCCCGGCUAACUUCGUGCCAGCAGCCGCCGUAA